CCUACGGGCGGCAGCAGUGGGGGAUAUUGCACAAUGGGGGGAACCCUGAUGCAGCGACGCCGCGGGGGUGAAGAAGCGCCUCGGCGCGUAAAGCCCUGUCAGCAGGGAAGAAAAUGACGGUAACUGAAGAAGAAGCCCCGGCUAACUACGUGCCAGCAGCCGCGGUAAUACGUAGGGGGCAAGCGUUAUCCGGAUUUACGGGGGGGAAAGGGGGCGCAGACGGCGAUGCAAGCCAGGAGUGAAAGCCCGGGGCCCAACCCUGGGACUGCUCUUGGAACUGCGUGGCUGGAGUGCAGGAGGGGCAGGCGGAAUUCCUGGUGUAGCGGGGAAAUGCGUAGAUAUCAGGAGGAACACCGGUGGCGAAGGCGGCCUGCUGGACUGCAACUGACGUUGAGGCCCGAAAGCGUGGGGAGCAAACAGGAUUAGAUACCCUUGUAGUC
RNAcentral lists this ribosomal RNA (440 nucleotides) under uncultured bacterium. RNAcentral's name for it is "partial 16S ribosomal RNA". It matches the Rfam family "Bacterial small subunit ribosomal RNA", at positions 338 to 795 of the family's 1533-position model. The record is from RNAcentral.